CCCUCUCUCAUUCGUCUCUAUAAUCUCCCACAAAAAACCCUAGCUACCCUUAUAACCCCUCGCCGGCUCCGCCUCUCUCAACCGCACUGAAAUUGCCUUAUGGCGGCGGAGCAUCUCCAAACUACACCAGACAAUCACCCUCUCCUCCUCGUUCCAUAUCUCAUAACCAUUCCUUUCAAAUAGAUCCAGAACCCCACGAAUCUUAGAUCUAAGAUUUAUAAAAACCUAAACUUUUCCUUUUUGAUUUUUCGAUCAAUUAUUGGGUUAUUUGAACCUAAGACUUACAUUAGUCAACUAUUCUUGUUGAACAGUUGAUUAAUGGUCAUCCAAGUCCACUUUUACCCCAUUAAAUUUGGUCUAAUUCAUAGCUGGUCCAGUCCAAAACGAGCCCUAGGUAAUUUUUUUCUUUUCCAUUUUUCUUUUAUGCUAUCUUCUGUUGUUAUUUAGGUAAUGACAGUGUAUUCCCUUUUUGUUAGUAUUGUCUGUUUGUUCCAUUUUUAUGUUAAUUGAAGCAUGCUGAAUGUUAUGACUAUUUGGAAGCUCAAUCUCGAUUGCAUCUGAUUUAGAUUAAUUAGGAUUUAAUUUUUAGAAACUGCAUGAUUGUUCUUUUCUUCUCCAUGUUUCCGGAUUUUGUUUAUAUAUUUAUGUUCAAAGUUUGUUUUAAGUUAAUUAAAAUGGUUUUACUCAUGUCCCAAAGGUUAGUUAACAAUCUAUCAGACCUGUUUUUGAUUAGCUUUAGAAAACCUUAGUCUUAGUUGAUUAAUGUGUUUAAUUGAAACUAAUUAAGAUGAUUUCUAUGUUUUCUUUGCAUAAGCAUUCUGGUUUUUGUUAGUUGUUGUUUUGUUACAAAUUUAAAUGCAAUGUUUGUUUAGGAUUAGUUAUAUAAAACUUGCCAAUUAGGUUUAAAACUUAGAAUUGAAACCUAGACUUUUGAUUAAUUUUAGAAAUAAAGGGUAAAUACGCCAAGGAUACAAAUUAAAGCAAGUUUAAGAAACCUUAAUCAUCUAGCUGGUUCUAGAAAGUCUGAAAGAGAUUUCUAGAAUCAGAAUAGGAUUUGAAUUGGUUAAAACUAAGAUAAUCAGUGAUUGAAGGGUUAAAAUUGGGUUUUACAUUAGGUAAACAUCAGAAGGUUCUAGAUUUAGUACAACUGUCCUCAUUCUUAGCAUGAAAAUGCUGGAAUUGGGCUGAAAAAGAACAUACAGCUGUCAAAGAUGCUGUACUAUUUUGACAUUUCAGAAUUUAGGUUAGAAUAUUCCAUUUUUUAUGCCAUCCUUGUGCACUCUAUAUAAAGAAAAGUAUUCACUCAUUCUCACACAGUUUUUCAUUCACAGCAUAUCUGCACCUAAAAAUUUUCAGAAUACAAAAAGAAAAAAUCCCAAUAACUUUUCUGAAAAAAGCAUCACUUUUCCUAGCUAGAUUUUAGGCUGAUUUCUCAAAUACAUUGAUUUCUGAGAAGUUUGGAGGGUUGUUCCUUUGGUUUUUGGGCUGAUUUCUACUGCUGCUGUUUGGGUUUUGGUUACUGCUUCAUCUUUAAAUUUCAAUCAGUAGUUCACUUGGUUUUCUUUUCUGGUUUCUUGCUGUUUAAGAGAUUUAUUUUCUCUUCUCUUUUUCACUGUUGUCAAGGUACACAUCUUGAGCUCACAUGCUUGAUUUGGGUUCACUUUUGUGACCUUUCAUGUUUUGUAUGUUUGUUGUGAUGUAGUAUUUUAGAUUUUAUAUAGAAGGUUGUAAAUAUUAAGCAUUUGGAAUGGAAGUCUGUCUUGACUUUGUGGUUGCCUUCCUAUCUUUCAGUCACUUUAAAGCAUGUUAUAUUGGCUAAGUCCAUCUUGGUAUUAUGAGCUGUUUAUAUUCUGUAAUUAUUUGUCUUGAAAAGAUGAAUGUUAAGCCCGUUGUUUCAAAUGCCUCAUUCUGUGUUUUGUUCUUUUGUUUUUAUAUGGAUGUCCAUGAUUCCUUCAGAUGUGUUAAUAUUCUCUUUACUAAGUAUGCGUUGAACACUUCUACUUAGCCUAGUUCUUGUGCGAAUAAAUCAGUUUAAGUGCAGUAGGUAGUAUGAUGUUCAAAAGUUUAAAGUUGGGUUGGUUUGAUCACAAGUUGUUCAAAUCUAUCCAACGAGUAGACUAAGCUAGUGAAGCUGGCUCAUGUGGAUCUAUGGCUGCAGUGCAAGGGAGAUAACGUAUGUAUAUAUUUUUUCCUUUUUAAACGUCUUAGCCAGAAUUGUCAAUUAUCAUGAUGCACACAAGAUUACCCAUGUAAAAAGACAGUGCAUGUUUAAGAUUAUAAUGUAAUUCUGAUCUCAAAUGCCUUGCGUGAUUUAUUGUAUUUAAAUGGGCUUUGAAUUUAUGUGUGGUAAUUAAUGUUAUCAUUGUUAGAGAGAUUAGUAGUGAUUUUCAUUAUUCUUGUGAUUGUAACAAUGUUGAAAGGGGGUUAGGCUAUGGCCAGACGUUAAAGCCUAAAUUUCGCCAUUAC
Molecule: long non-coding RNA, 2466 nt
Filed under: Nicotiana tabacum (common tobacco)
Lineage: Eukaryota; Viridiplantae; Streptophyta; Magnoliopsida; Solanales; Solanaceae
Description: long non-coding RNA (NTAB_LNC015679)
Source: RNAcentral